Rhea pennata is the source of this 1247-nucleotide long non-coding RNA. RefSeq lists it as uncharacterized. The record is from RefSeq and is a predicted model, not a curated record. The transcript has 4 exons. Lineage: Eukaryota; Metazoa; Chordata; Aves; Rheiformes; Rheidae.
UGCUCGUGCCCUCUGAGUGGGAAAUACGGUUGGUCUCUUCCAUAGUGUGCGUGCGGGAAGCCCUGACCUCGCUAACAGACUUGACCUCUGAAGAUGGAAAGUAGCUUCACCACAGACCUGCCUACAGUUAAGCCUGGAAACACAACCUCAAGCAAGAAAAGAUGCAGUGCAAUAUCUAAGGAACUAGAAGAAACCAAUAUUUGCCAGGGGAGGGGGGAGACGAUUGCUUUUUUUUUUUUUUUUUUUUUUUUCCUUUCUUUCUUUUUUUCGGAAGUGACUCCAACUUUUGGGGGCUUGAUCUUGGGGUCUUUUUGCUUCGUUCUUUUUUUGCCUGUGAUUGUUUUCCUCUGGCAGUGGGCUAACUUCACCUGCCCUUGGCUUCCUAGCAUCUUUCCUUGGACUCUUAAUGCUCAGUCCAGCAGACAUAAGUUUUAUCUAUUUAAGGUGGUGAGGUACUGUAAUGCACCGACAUUCCCCCCCGCCCCGGCCCGUGCCUCCCCCUCCCCUGUAACGAAGAGCUGAUUCAGCGAGUAGAGUGAAAGCGCACUCAGGAUGAGAUGGCUGCUGCUGAUGUGUCUCUAGGUCAUUACCUCUCUUCCAACUGCAAAUGCUGCAUGGUACUAAGCUUACAGGAUACUAGCUGCUAACUGUACACCAGCACGGAAAUCUGCUAGAAGACCUCAAAGGAAACUGAAGUUCUCACAAUGGAAUACAACUACCAAUUCCAGGAAAAUGCUUUGCAAAGCUACUGGUGAUUCAACUCUCCACUCAAAAUGGUCACUCAGACAGCAAGAGGCUACAAAAACCUGGACAAAUACUUCUAACGUCCACGUCAUCACAGAACAAUGAACUUUAACUGGCUUUUAUCUAUUCUGCAGUGUAAACUUACGUAAAGGAGAGAGGAUUCUGGGGAAAAAAACCUGUAGUAUGCAUCACAUUCGAUAGCUGACAACUGUCCAACUGACUCAGUUUGAACCACAGUUUAGAUCCCUCCAAGAAAAAAGCCUGAAGUCCAUAAGAUCUUCACACACAAAAAUCUUCAGCAACUCUUUGAAGAGGUUUUUCAUGUACUUCCCCUGCAUCUCAUAUUGAUGUCAUGGUAACAUAGACUGUAACUAUCGCAAGAGCUUAAGAAAAACAAUGCACAAGAAAACCUAGCUAACUGGAGUCAGAAAAUAGUGUUCCUGGGCUAUUGUUGUUAUGAGAAUAUGAAAGAUUACAGAUUAAAUAAAUAAUUUAUCAAGUCA